This is a long non-coding RNA of Hyla sarda, 1425 nucleotides long. RefSeq lists it as uncharacterized. The record is from RefSeq and is a predicted model, not a curated record. The transcript has 6 exons. Lineage: Eukaryota; Metazoa; Chordata; Amphibia; Anura; Hylidae.
UUCUGGAGAUUUAAAGACAAGCAAAUAACGAAGGAGAGGAGGCUGAAAACAUCGCAGAUGGAGCAAGAAGGGAAAUGAGAAGCUCUAAACAACUGUCUAAUCUAUAAAUCUAAGAGUCACCAAAAUUGGAUAUAUUUGGGCCCUUGCUCCAGGCCGACCAAGUGGACAGCCAUCUGUGAACGGUGUGAAGGUCAUUGUGACCCAGUGAUUCGUGUUCCAGGGGUUGCCAUCUUACAUGAGCUGAACUGUUUCUAACAGCAAUUAGUAAUAUACUUUACGGCUGGACUCAUGGACAUAGACGACAAUGGACCUGUCCCAUUCAGAUAAUUUGUGACAUUUUCAGAGGUCAUGUGAUCACCAGCUUGACUCACAGAAAAUCACUGUGUUUAAUGUGGUCAGUCCAUGGUCAGCUGACUUCCUAUGAACUACAGAAGGUCAUCAUCACCUUACAGACGGCCUCCUCUCCUAGUUUUCUCGGUAUGCUGCGGCUAUCUCUACAGAAUCCAGAUAUAGAUACCAGAUAUUCCUUCUAGAGCAAACGCUCAUGGGGAUUAUUGAGUAAGGAGCAAUAAAAGAAGGUUCACAUCUCACAUCAUGUUUUUUUAAAUGACUAAGGAGAAUGAGAAAGUGGUACCUAAGCAGAGAGAAUGUGGUACCUAAGAGAAUUUUGAGAUAGAAUCUGUCGAAUGAAUAGGGGACCUACACAAGGGGACAGUAAUGAUGAUGGUGACGAUAACCAUGAUGACCAACCUUGACAGUACGGGAAAGAGGAUGAACAAGCUGAACUCUCAGAAAGGCUGGCGAGGAUGGCAAAAUGUAUGUUUUUUUGGUUGUGCGCUGACAGGAAUCUUAAGCGCUUGAAGGAAAGAGAUGAGUACUUGAUGAUCACACUCUUAGACCCUCAGUAAAAAGUGAGAAUGAAGGGAUUUUUUUCACCUUCCAAGAAGGAGUAUUAAUUGGAUUUUAAUAGGGAGAAGCUACGCAGCCAGCUUGUCAUGGCUUUCCAGCAACAAACACCUGACUGCUGGCCGCUGCCUACUACUACCUCCACCAGUCUACCACUGUCUGCUGUCAGCUGGCUACUACAACUCCUACUGCUUCACCACUGCCUGCUGUCAGCUGGAUACUACUACUUCCACCAGUCCACCAUUGCCUGCUGUCAGCUGGCUACUACAACUGCCAUCAGUCCACCACUGCCUUCUGUCAGCUGCCUACUACUACUCCCACCAGUAUACCAAUGUUUAGAAAAAUCCAUUGCGUACUUAUCGGCAUGCAUCUUUUAACAAAAAGAGAUAUUUUACGCGCAUUUAUUUAUUUUUUUAUUUUAAUUAAUUUUUCUUACCAAAAAAAUUCCAUUUACCACAAUCCAUGCAAUUAUUUUUAAUACAACAAUUUAUUUUAGUGUUAAGAAGCAUAUUAAAUCCA